AUUUUAAAUGCUACUGCUCUUUCACCAUUUCAGCUACAAACAUUAAAACAACUUCAACAUUUUCAAAACUGUAUCAAUUUGAACAAUUUACAAUUUCAUGAAUUAGCAUAAAUAACACACCAACAGUAAUAUUAUAGGCCUAACUCUAGAACCGUUCAAGCUAGAGACAACCAACCAACUUUCACCUGUUCCAGCUAUCAUUUUCUAUCAACCAUAUUACUUCAAGACAAGCUAGCAAGCACACACAUUUUCUUUAGGAAAUGUACUUUUCGAGGAUUCAGUUGACCUUAGUCACCGCCGGUGAAUUUUUGCUUCCAUGUAAAACCAAUAGGUCUACUACUACGGACGGGGAAUGGACAUAUGAACCGAAUUGCGUUGUGGUUGGAGGUCGCUAUACGAGCUGCUUAUCUGUAAAACUUUUCUUUACCAUUUACCAGGCAAAAUAUCCCAGUAAAUAGAUUCUGAACAACUUAAACUAGACUUACUGUAUAAUUAUUAUUGUUUGAAAAAUGUCCCCAUCGUGCUCAUGGAAUCAACCUUCUCUGAGGAGGAAGGUAGAGAGAAUAAUUGUCUCAAACUCUUCAAAUUGUAAACACCCUAAAACGUAUAAGAAGAGGUCUCAGAGGUGUAGUUUAUGGGAUGUUUCUGAUAAACUGUAGGUUUCUAUUUGAUUGGAAGGCUGUACAGGUGGUUUGGGAGAUGCGCAGUGUUGCCUAAUGUCACACUCGGUGGUGGUAUAAAAUCCCCUGGGUUUGUCCUCCAGUCUAUCUUGAGAAAAGACGAAGGCAGGAAAGCUACAUUACGCGCAAUUGUGGCUGAGAAGAAACCGAUAACAAGAUGACUAAAAUUGUGAUGGCUUACAUUGGGUUCCUUCUCCUUGCCAUGCGUUUUUCGUCACAGAUCCACGCGCAAAACACUACCACACAGUCCCCUGCCAUGAAUGCUACGACCAGAGCUGGCGGUGCGAGUUCCAACAUGACCAAGAUGCCCGACGUCACCAAGAACAACAUUGCCAAAGGAGCCAGUGCAUCUUUGCAGUCCAGCUCGGUUGUGCUCAUCAUACCCAUCAUGGUGGGGGGCUCACUACAGGGGCGCUUCUAGAGGGCUGUUGAGCAGUGAACAGACACCAGCAAGACUUCAACAUCAGCGGCCUAGAUGGGGCAAACUGUUCGACCAAGAUCACAUUUAAAAAAUAAUAUUCAGGAAGGCAGUCAUGUUUGCACCUAACCGAAUAGAUUCGAGGGAGUUGCGUGCUGUACCAGAACCCAUUUCUACUUCAAUGAUUGGAAUUGUUAUUUGCCCUCACACCUUCAAACCAUUAGGCCUUCACACCUCGCACACUGACCCCAUGCCCAAAGGCCGAACUGUACGGUCCUCUCCAUGGAGGCAGUCCAUGAUGAGUAUGUACUGUACGGAACUCUGCUCUUUGAACCGUUUGGUCCCGCUGUUCCUGUGUAGACACCAGGGGGUAGUUUAGUAAUUUGUUAAGAAGUUAACAUAUCUAAAGAAAUGUUGGUUGAGGCACUUUGAAAAUAAGGUAUAAAUGAAUCUGUGGCAUUUCUGCACCUGCAGUGAGUACUUUGUCAGAGGCUUGAUGUACACUUGUGAUUUAUUUCUAGAAAUGGAAUUGUGAGAUAGCAUGUGAGAUUUAAUUGUAUGAAUCAUGAUGUGAUAUGCGUAGAUUUGUUUUUUAAGGCCAGGUUCAAUAAACCUUUAAAAUGUAGGAUACUUGUGAGAAUUUAUUUGUAUAAUAAAAAUAUUUUAACAAUGUUUCUUCUCCUGUCUCUAAAUUCUAAAGCUUGACCUGACAAGUAAUUUGCUCUGUUCCACUUGUGUCCAGCCCCUUUAUUGAUCACAUGGCUAAACCCAGGGAUUUCCUUAACGUAGACUAGGUGUGAUGUGCCACAAAUUAAAUCCUUAUUUUAGAAUGGGGUAUAGGAAUGUUCACCUUUGGCCAGUUGUAGCAUUUAUGCUAUGUCAACUAGGACCUUUCUUGCAUUCCUUGUGGCCAAAACAGUUCAGUUUCCUGACAGUUGACUCACUUGCAGGCUGCUUUAAUUAGAUUUACUUUACCCUAGCUACAUUGACCUGUGACCAGUCCAUUUACUAACUAGCCUACAAAGAUGUUCAGGGGAAGGCUGGCUGUAAAGUAUAUUUGACCUAACACUAGUUUCUUGACACUGGGUCUUGCUGGUUGGCUCUCAGCCAAAGGGAUGGUUAACUUUUUAGACUUAUCAUCCCAUAACUCUAAGCCAGGGGUUUUAAACUAUAUUGCAUGGUUUAUAAGGUCAUACCAAGGUCAAUUUUCCUGUUUUAACAACUCCCUUGACUCAACUAAUGUAAUUAUUUGUGACGAGCCCAUAGUUUGUUCUGUCUGUCCAAGCUAGACCUGAGAGAUCAGGAUACUUUUCUGGAACUAAGUCUAUUCAACUGAUACUGUGGGACCUUCAAGCGAUGUUUGAGUCUGACCUUUCCAGAAGAGUUGUAGUGUGUAGACUUCAUAUGCAACAGACUCAUUAGAGGCUGUUCAGACUAGUCCCAAGAUGGUUGUAGAGAAACUGAAUGUGUUCGCUAGUGAAGUGAGUAGACUGGUUUUUGAGAUAUCUCAUGGUCUUACUAACACACCUUACACAGGCAGAUGUGGUGGAUUGAGAUGCAUCCAAUGCAAAAAAAACAUCUUAAACUGACUUUUGUGGGGAUUUAAUGCUAAUUGACCUAAGGGGGUUUGAACUGAUGCUGUAGAUUGGUCAUUCUCAAUUUGUUUUUGGGGCUUACCUGUUUGGCAUUAAUGUGUCACAUCAGUUUGUAAAAAAAAAAAAGGAUUAAAGCUGCAUACAAACAUGGUCUCUUUUGCUUUCUU
Long non-coding RNA from Oncorhynchus kisutch (coho salmon), 2860 nucleotides. The record is from Ensembl. NCBI's taxonomy places the organism in Eukaryota, Metazoa, Chordata, Actinopteri, Salmoniformes, Salmonidae.